AUUCAAUUUCUUUUAUUUAUCUUUCAUAAUAAAGAAUCCAAAUAAAUGGUUAAGACUCGAACGAUUAUUUGAAAAUGUCUAAAGAGGUCAAAGGGGCCAUUUGCAUUUUUUUUUUUAAUUAUCCCAAUAUUUAAUGGGUUCUAUUGGUUAAGUACUGCCAAUGCCAUCAGACAAAUUAUGUGCCCACACUACAAACAAUUACUCUGCUUUCCGCCUUCCAGCUGGAUUCCACCGACACUACACUUAGCGCAUGCUAGCAUAAUCAACUGUAUUACACUAACUUACGCCUAUGACAUCCUCCCAUUUAGCAUUUCAACUAAUGUCCGUACAUAAUCUUAAGUUUUUGUUGGGUGGCUAGGUGAAAAUAAUCAAAUUAAUAAAACAACCGAACAGAAACAGUGAGAUAUCUAAAUGUUUUCAGCAAACCAAAAUCAACAAAAAUUCAAAUGCAAAAUGUACAUGUGUGAAAAAAAAUUUUCCAAACAGUAACGCACGUGCCACGGAAGAACAGAGAGAAUCCGAGGCAAGAACCCGAGAACGCGCCUCAGAAGUUGGCGAUUUUUCUGUGUGACCGUGAUUUCAGGGAGGCACGUUUAAUCUCUUGCAAGUUCCUGAGGCUUCGAAUGGCCAAAACAUCGCUUCUCCGGACAUCGCUAAGUCCACCGCCGACGCCACUAUUGUCAGUUGAAUCUAAAACAAAAUCACCGCAAGGAUUCAACGCCAAAUGUAAUUUCCUUUUUUGAAAAAAAAAAAUCAAGCUGCAUUAUACCUAUAUGCUUCGAGGAUCUCUUGAAUCCGUUAAACUGAGCCAGAUCUGCAUCAUCAGUACAAAACAAGCUGUAAGGAUCCAGCUAAGAGAUUGGUGAAAAAAGCAAUCGUGAGCAUUGAUUUCUAAUUUUACCAGAUUGAGAUGGACUGUGAGAGACUAGGUAAAGAACGAAGAAGCAGAGGAAAGUGAGAAGCGGAAUAAAAUGAACGAGUUUCUCAGGAUUGGGAGGAGCUGAUGAUAAAGAAAAUGAUGGUGAAGACGAUGAGAAUCGGCGAAAAAGUUUUGUCUCUUUGUGGUGUUCUUCGUCGUUACAAUCAGGAAGUGAAGAGGGAGUUAAGUCUCUUCGUUUAGAAUCAUCUGGCGCUGAGAGAGUGUCGUCUUUGGCUCCUCCACCAUGGCUGUGGUACUUAGAAACUGUCGAGCCCAGAGACUGCCUCUGCAUUGAGAGAGAGAGAGAGAG
RNAcentral lists this unclassified non-coding RNA (1229 nucleotides) under Hevea brasiliensis (rubber tree). Lineage: Eukaryota; Viridiplantae; Streptophyta; Magnoliopsida; Malpighiales; Euphorbiaceae. The record is from RNAcentral.